Molecule: long non-coding RNA, 480 nt
Organism: Cygnus olor (mute swan)
Lineage: Eukaryota; Metazoa; Chordata; Aves; Anseriformes; Anatidae
Exons: 3
Source: RefSeq, a predicted model, not a curated record
UGAGAUCGAAACCAGAAGUCACCUUCGAUUCAGCUGGAUCCACAGCAGGCAGAAGCAGGACUUGUGCUCAAAAAGCAGCUUCCUGUGCAACCUUUUCAGUACCACAAGUACAUCUGUUUACUGGGGAGACAGGGACACACUGGAGAGAGCACAGUGAAGGACAAUGAGGAUGGUUAAAGGACUGGAGUGCUCGUCACACGAGGGGAGGCUGAGAGAGCAGACGGCAUUCAGCCUGAAGACCAAGCUCACAGGGGAAUCGUAUUGCUGUGUAUAAUACUUGACAGGAGGAAAAAGAGAGUCACUCUUCUUACCAAUACCCAGUGAAAGGACACGGGGAACAAACUGAAACAAGAGACAGCUGAUCCUGUGCCAAGGCUAGGACAAAACCGAGAGCUGCUCAAGCCUAUUCCAGUCCAGCUUUCCAACUCUGCCCAAAAACAUAGAUGAAAUUGUCCAGGACAAACUGCUAGGUAAGACUAG